GUUUGGCCGGGGUAGGCCGUCAUUGUAAAUAAGAAAAUCAGUUCCUGAUGAUUACAGAAUAGGAUACAGUUUUCCUAUCCCUGCUCCCCCUCAACACUCAUUCCAACGUUACUUUUUUUGCAGGAAUCUUCUAGCUUGGAUGCCAGGAUGGAGGAGGGAACAAAGGGAAGGAGUACAGAAGUUAUCCAGCCGGCUGACUAAGAAAUUUCCUGAAACAUGUCAAUGACCUAAUGCAUGGCCCACUCCAUUACCAGUGACCUAUUCUGCCACAAAAGGAGAGAGCAGCACCACUACUCCUUAAAUCCAGUAUUGACAGUGCAAAACCCUUGUGUCCUGAUUGAACAGACACCUCCCUUGAUUGAUGACCAAUGAAUUCCUGUCCCACUUCAAUAUGAAGGGACAGAGGAGCAAACAUGCCUUCGCUACCACUUGUGUGUGUGCUCCAUUGUAGUUGGUAAGUAAAUGUAAGCAGUUGAGAUAUUUGACAUAGACAAUGAGAAUUUCUUUCUAGAUUCUGACUUUUUAAAGAUAUUAUACUCUGCGUUACUGUUGUGUCCUGCAUGCCCACAAUAUGCCAUUCGUUAACUUAAAUUCUUCGCUUUGUAUGCUGAAGUGUCAUGAAAAGCCAGAAAAUGUAGGAGGUUAAUGAGUUGCGGGCCCUCUGGAAAGUCCUAAAAUAUGCCCCUGACCACCGUGGUGGAGGAGGAUGCAAAGUCUGCAUAAAAAAAGUUAUUUUUUGAAGAUAUAACUUAGUGAUAACUGCCACAAGCUUCUUCAACUAGUACCAUGGAAAUACUUUAGCAGAGUCCAAAAAACAUCUUCAGGGAUGAUACAGUUGUAAUGCACAACUCUUCAAGAGGGAAACCACGCUCCAGAUCACCUUCUGUGCUCAGAGGUCCUUGAUGAGGAUCUAACCCAUCACACCACUUUUAUUAAUCAAUCAAAUAAAACAAUCAGCCUUUAUAUACUCUGUGUCCCAGUAUUUCUAUGCAUGUAAUGUAUGUGGGUGAAUUAUGAAACAAUUACUGUAUGCAGAUGUGCCAUAAAUUGUGGUAUAGAUUUGUUUUUGUAAGAAUGUUGGAGAUUUCAACUUUAAUUGGUGACUAUGGAAACAAAUACAAAUGUAAUGAAUUGUGUUUUCAAUCUCCAACUGUCCUCUGUAAUACUUUUUACAGUAGGUAAUAAAUGGUCAUUACCAGGUUAUGAGGUCUUAACUAUGACCAGUAGCCUACAUAAUAUUACCGUCAGAAUUAUGACCAGCUGGUCAGAUAGGUCACAAAUAAUUAAGAACAACUGUAAAAAACAUAUAUAUAUAUAUAUAUAUUUUCAACCAGUUUGCGACAAGAAUAUGUCAUUCAGUCAGGUUUUACCAACUGGGAAGGGUAGGCUACACUCCUUAACAGUACAUUCUUGGGCUAGGUAGCCUAUAUGCAUUCAUUCACAGAUUUAUAAAAUUACACAGAAGGAUUGGUCCUUGCUCUUGGAUGAAAGAAAACAUAUGUAGUCUACUCAGAUUAGAACAGAACUAUGCUAUUCAACAGUGCAAGGCUCACCAUAACUUCUCCCUCACACUCCAAAUCCACCAUAGCAUCAUAUCGCCCUUUCAGAUCCUGUCAACACAAAUGUUAACCAAUGUUAGGCUAACUCAAGAGCAAUUUACUAUUCGUUUACAAUUUAAAACAUUGUAUUUCCCCCAACAAAUAAUACAUCUCGGCCAACACCACUUAAAUGUAUAACCAUAAUAGUUCCAAUAUUCAAAAUGACAGCAGUCGCUUCAAGUGAGAGCAGCGCUCUGCCGCUUACCAUUAG
Long non-coding RNA from Oncorhynchus tshawytscha (Chinook salmon), 1809 nucleotides. RefSeq lists it as uncharacterized. NCBI's taxonomy places the organism in Eukaryota, Metazoa, Chordata, Actinopteri, Salmoniformes, Salmonidae. The transcript has 4 exons. The record is from RefSeq and is a predicted model, not a curated record.